GCUUGGCCCUAAAUCUAGAUGUUUCUUCCACCAAAACAUCCGCCCGAGAACUACGAGCACAAACGCUUAAAACUCUAAGGACUUGGCGGUGCUCCAAACCCACCUAGAGGAGCCUGUUCUGUAAUCGAUAACCCACGAUACACCCAACCCCUCCUUGCCCAAAGCAGCCUACAUACCGCCGUCCCCAGCUCACCUUCUCUGAGGGCCCAACAGUGAGCACAACAACGCCGCUAAUAAGACAGGUCAAGGUAUAGCCUAUGGAGUGGAAGAAAUGGGCUACAUUUUCUAGAAUAGAAAACGAAAAGGGGCUUGAAACAACCCCUAGAAGGAGGAUUUAGCAGUAAAGGGGGGUAAGAAUGCCCCCUUAAACUUGGCCCUGGAG
This 382-nucleotide ribosomal RNA is filed under the name Gallirallus australis (weka). Its description in RNAcentral is "partial 12S small subunit ribosomal RNA". It matches the Rfam family "Bacterial small subunit ribosomal RNA", at positions 794 to 1379 of the family's 1533-position model. Lineage: Eukaryota; Metazoa; Chordata; Aves; Gruiformes; Rallidae. The record is from RNAcentral.